Molecule: ribosomal RNA, 892 nt
Filed under: uncultured archaeon
Lineage: Archaea
Description: bacterial SSU rRNA
Rfam family: Archaeal small subunit ribosomal RNA
Source: RNAcentral
UUCCGGUUGAUCCUGCCGGACCCGACUGCUAUUUGGGUGAGAAUAAGCCAUGCGAGUUGAAUGGAAUACCUAAAUUUUCCAUGGCAAACUGCUCAGUAACACAUGAUCAACUUACCCUAUAGAGAAAAAUAACCUCGGGAAACUGAGGAUAAUGUUUCAUAGUUGAAAAGGCUUGGAAAAGUUUUUCAAUCAAAAGGAUAAAAAAAAUGGUUUUUAUCCGCUAUAGGAUAGGAUCGUGGUCGAUUAUGGUUGUUGGUGAGGUAAUGGCUCACCAAGCCGAUAAUCGAUAGGGGCCGUGAGAGCGGGAGCCCCGAGAUGGGUACUGAGACAACGACCCAGGCCUUACGAGGCGCAGCAGGCGCGAAACCUCCGCAAUACACGAAAGUGUGACGGGGUUACCCAAAGUGUUCAAUUUUGAACUGUGGUAGGUGAGUAAUGUUCCCUACUAGAAAGGAGAGGGCAAGGCUGGUGCCAGCCGCCGCGGUAAAACCAGCUCUUCAAGUGGUCGGGAUAAUUAUUGGGCUUAAAGUGUCCGUAGCCGGUUUAGUAAGUUCCUGGUAAAAUCGGGUAGCUUAACUAUCUGUAUGCUAGGAAUACUGCUAAACUAGAGGGCGGGAGAGGUCUGAGGUACUACAGGGGUAGGGGUGAAAUCUUAUAAUCCUUGUAGGACCACCAGUGGCGAAGGCGUCAGACUGGAACGUGCCUGACGGUGAGGGACGAAAGCCAGGGGAGCGAACCGGAUUAGAUACCCGGGUAGUCCUGGCCGUAAACGAUGCAUACUAGGUGAUGGCAUGGCCAUGAGCCGUGUCAGUGCCGUAGGGAAACCGUUAAGUGUGCCGCCUGGGAAGUACGGUCGCAAGGCUAAAACUUAAAGGAAUUGGCGGGGGAGCAC